UGGGGAAUAUUGGACAAUGGGCGAAAGCCUGAUCCAGCCAUGCCGCGUGAGUGAUGAAGGCCCUAGGGUUGUAAAGCUCUUUCACCGGUGAAGAUAAUGACGGUAACCGGAGAAGAAGCCCCGGCUAACUUCGUGCCAGCAGCCGCGGUAAUACGAAGGGGGCUAGCGUUGUUCGGAAUUACUGGGCGUAAAGCGCACGUAGGCGGACAUUUAAGUCAGGGGUGAAAUCCCGGGGCUCAACCCCGGAACUGCCUUUGAUACUGGGUGUCUCGAGUCCGGAAGAGGUGAGUGGAAUUCCGAGUGUAGAGGUGAAAUUCGUAGAUAUUCGGAGGAACACCAGUGGCGAAGGCGGCUCACUGGUCCGGUACUGACGCUGAGGUGCGAAAGCGUGGGGAGCAAACAGG
RNAcentral lists this ribosomal RNA (404 nucleotides) under Bacillota bacterium. RNAcentral describes it as "Firmicutes bacterium partial 16S ribosomal RNA". It matches the Rfam family "Bacterial small subunit ribosomal RNA", at positions 355 to 776 of the family's 1533-position model. Lineage: Bacteria; Bacillati; Bacillota. RNAcentral also lists the same sequence under 1 other name. The record is from RNAcentral.